RNAcentral lists this ribosomal RNA (448 nucleotides) under Tergipes tergipes. RNAcentral's name for it is "partial 16S ribosomal RNA". It matches the Rfam family "Archaeal large subunit ribosomal RNA", at positions 1904 to 2672 of the family's 2987-position model. Lineage: Eukaryota; Metazoa; Mollusca; Gastropoda; Nudibranchia; Tergipedidae. The record is from RNAcentral.
AACAUAGCCACUUGAAUAUAUUUGUGGUUUAACCUGCCCAAUGUAACUAAUAUGAAUGGCCGCGGUACCUUGACCGUGCUAAGGUAGCGUAAUCAGUUGGCUUUUAAAUGGAGUCAGGUAUGAAUGGGAUAACUGGGUCUAGCUGUCUCAGAAAUAUUUUUUUGAAUUUACUGUUUAAGUGAAAAAGCUUAAAUUUUAUAAAGGGACGAGAAGACCCUUGGAAUUUUUUUUAAUUUAGGAUUAUUCCUAAUGUUAUUUUGUUGGGGCGACAUAGAAAUAGUUAAAACUUUCUUUAUAAUAUGAGUCGGAAUUUUCAGGAAAAGAUAAAUUACCCAAGGGAUAACAGCAUAAUUCUAUAAAUGAGUUUGUGACCUCGAUGUUGGACUAGGAAGCUGGCAGGUUAGCUGCUUGUCGUGCGAAUUCUGUUCGAAUUUUAACUCCUACGUGA